AGAGUUGAUCAUGGCUCAGGAUAACGGCUGGCGGCGUGCCUAAUACAUGCAAGUCGAAUGGUUAGCUUGCUAACCAUGGCGAACGGGUGAGUAACACGUAGGCAACCUGUCUAAGAGACGAGGAUAACCAUUGGAAACGAUGGAUAAUACUGGAUAAGAUAUUGGGAGGCAUCUUCUGAUAUUUAAAGAUUUAUCGCUAAUAGAGGGGCCUGCGGCGCAUUAGCUAGUUGGUGAGGUAACGGCCCACCAAGGCGAUGAUGCGUAGCCGGACUGAGAGGUUGAACGGCCACAAUGGGACUGAGAACGGCCCAUACUCCUACGGGAGGCAGCAGUAGGGAAUUUUCGGCAAUGGACGAAAGUCUCGACCGAGCAACGCCGCGUGAACGAAGAAGUAUUUCGGUAUGUAAAGUUCUUUUAUUCGGGAAGAAAAUACAUUGACUGUACCAAAUGAAUAAGCUCCGGCUAACUACGUGCCAGCCGCAGC
Molecule: ribosomal RNA, 484 nt
Filed under: uncultured bacterium
Lineage: Bacteria
Description: bacterial SSU rRNA
Rfam family: Bacterial small subunit ribosomal RNA
Source: RNAcentral